Molecule: transfer RNA, 69 nt
Filed under: Orecta lycidas
Lineage: Eukaryota; Metazoa; Arthropoda; Insecta; Lepidoptera; Sphingidae
Description: tRNA-Ser
Source: RNAcentral
GAAAUAUAUAAAUUUUUAAAAUUAAGCUGCUAACUUAAUUUUUAGUGGUUAAAUUCCAUUAAUAUUUCU